Camellia sinensis is the source of this 1022-nucleotide long non-coding RNA. RefSeq lists it as uncharacterized. Lineage: Eukaryota; Viridiplantae; Streptophyta; Magnoliopsida; Ericales; Theaceae. The record is from RefSeq and is a predicted model, not a curated record.
UAGGUCUCUUGAUAGAGAGGAAUUUGGAUAUAUGGCAUCUAGAUUGUAGUGCCAAUUUGCAAGUUCUUUUUUUAUUAUUCACUUUGUCUAUGUUUUCAUAUAAGAAUCUUGCUAGUAAAGAGUUUAUAAUUAUGUGAGUUGACUUGGGUUGUGAUAUUCAUUCAUUAAGGUUAAGUAAAAAGUAUAAUAAAAAACUGGGUUGUGAUAUUCAUUGAUUGAGGUUAGGUAAAAGGUAUAAUAAAAAACUUAAUAGUUGCUUAUAGAACUCCGAAAAAACUUAUAAAAAACUAGGUUGUCAAUGUGUUUUUGGACAUGUGUUGUUAUCAAAUCUGAAAUCCAACCACUACUUUGGACUUGUGCUGUUAUCAUAACCCAAUCUGCUAGCUUGCUGGAUAACAACAUUCAUUGAUAUAAUACCAUAGUACCUAUUAAUGGUGCUGCAUGUUUUUGGACUUAGCAUUAACAUGGAUUGUCCUGAGGCUUAUUAGGGAUGGUUUUGAAGCCUCUCUCUGUAGAACUUCCUGGCCUGCAACCAUUGGUCGCCCUUCAGUGUUUGAAUUUACAGGUGAUUAUGAAUAUAUAUAUGUUUUGAUGAAGGACAACAAUGGUGGUGGUGAUGAAACAGAGAGGUUGAUAGCGGACAUGGAUUUCAGGUCUUAGUUUGAUCUAGCAAGGCCUACUUCAACAUACACAGAGCUCACAGCUUCUCUGCCUUCCAUAAUUGUUGGGAGUGAAGAGAAACUAAUGGAGAUAAUAUGUUUGGUUUGCUUAGCAAAUAGCAUCAACAAUUUUCUCAAGACUACUCAGAGAUGGAAUUUAAAUUUGAUUGUAUUGUUCAGCUACUGCCAAAUUUAGGGGAUGUUUGUUAUAGCUUUUUGUUUUUUGAAAAGAAAAAAAAAUAAAAAUCAUGAAAACUUGUUUGAUAGAAGUAUUGUUUUCGUGUUCCUAUAUGAAUUGUUGAGGCUAUGCCACAAAGUUUUGUUCUUUUAUUGUUACCUUUAAAAAGGAAAAAGUUUUGAUGA